This 72-nucleotide transfer RNA is filed under the name Bos indicus x Bos taurus (hybrid cattle). It matches the Rfam family "tRNA". Rfam says of the family: Transfer RNA (tRNA) molecules are approximately 80 nucleotides in length. Lineage: Eukaryota; Metazoa; Chordata; Mammalia; Artiodactyla; Bovidae. The record is from Rfam by way of RNAcentral.
UCCCCAGUGGCUCAGCUGGGAAAGAAUCUGCCUGCAAGGCAGGAGACCCCGGUUCAAUUCUUGGCUUGGGAG